GUGAAGCCAAAAGAUUUCUUUUACGGGGUAAAAUUAAAUUAUAUAUUUUUUAAAGGAUUCAUUUUGGGAUUAAAGUGCAGUUUUACCAUUACUAAUUUAAACUUUUUUAAUUAUAAAGGGGUAUUAGAAACUUUCCAUUUCAAGAGAGGUCGAGGCCCCUACCGAUCCCUUUAACUUUCGCCCCUGCAAUUAUCAUUAUCUAAUUAAUGGAAAAUAAAUAAAAUUAUACAAUACCAAAGCAUCAAAUACUAAUUCAUUAAAUAAAAAAAUAUUUUACACUUCAAAAUAUAUAUAUCUAAAAUUUAUUAUCUAUAACUUUCAUAAAACAGAAUUAUAAUAAUAUUAAUUUCGAUCAUAAAAUAUAUUACACACUUUAUAAUAAAAUUUAAAUUUAAAACCUAAAUUUAAUAUUUAAUAUUAUGGAUAGUGAUAACCAUGAAUCGGGAGUCAGGAGACAUGCUUUAAAAUUUUCUGUAACGGUGAUGGAUUCAGUUACUGCUAUUACAUGGCAAACUGAAUGUGCAGAAAAAGACCAUGUCACUUGAGAUGCAUGCUGUCUGUUUCCAGAAUCUUGUUGCAUGUUCUUUUAAUAAAUAACACUUAUCUCUGCCGAGCGGGGGAAAAAAACAUAUUGGAUACCUAAAAACAAAUAAAUAAAUAAUAAAUUAUUUAAUUGUCGGUGUAUUGAAACUCUUAAAACAAGAUUGGAUGUGGGUGAGGGUGGGAGUCUACCUCAAACAUGGCCAAAGAAAGCAACCUAAAGAUUCAAACUUCACUUUUUUCUCUAUUUUUCUUCUACAAUCCAUACUUCAAAUUAUUUAUACGAUUAAUAUUUUAAAUCAUUUAAUAAAUAUAAUAUAUAUAAUAUUUUAAUUCGACAUAAUAAAAUAUUAAAUUAAUUUAAAAUUUUAUUUACAUGAUAUUUAUUGAUACAUUUAACGAUUCGAUGUUAAAAUAUUUAUAGUACAAAAUAUUAUUAUAAAUAGAUUCGUUCUCUAUAAAUUAUUAUAUAGUAAAAAUAAAAAAUUUAAAACUUUAAUUUCGUAUAAUAAAAGGAUUAUAAAAACAUCUAGACCGUAAUCAUGCCACUUAAUCUAGACUGUAUAGAUAAGAAUAACACGUCAAAGAUUACAUUAACCAUCAAAUCUAACACUAUAAUUAACACUUGCAACAUUAAUCAUUCACAAUCAUAUUAGCUUUCAAUGAGGGCUAUUUCUGCAUAUGUAGUUUUAAUACUUUAUUAUCGUAAUUAAAAAGAGCAGUAAUGAUAAGUUAUGUGAAUUUUUAUUUUCUAUAAAUUGUUAUUACUUUUCAUGCUAGCUGAUACUUUUUCUCAUUUUAUAUCUGGUUAAAAUUUGGGUUCAAUUUUUAAAAAAUGCCAUUUGUUUAAGUUAUUGCAUUAGAUUGUUUUUUUUUUUGAAAAAUUACGGGACUAGGCCGAAAUAAUGAAACGCUUUCAGUUAGAAACAUUUUUAACGGAUUUACUUACAGCUGAAAGCGUUUUCAGCAUAUUAGCAGAAAGACAUUUCUAAGUAGAAGUGUUUUCAUUUUUUUUGACCUAAUCUCAUUAUUUUUAAAAAUAAAGUAUAAUCCAAUAUAUUUUUUUAAACUGCAUUUUUAGAAAAUUUACUCCAAAAAUUGCUGGAUAUAUUGAACCCUUUCUAGGGAAAAAUCUGAAAGGGUGCUUGAGGGCAUCUCAAAAUGGUCAGUGACCACCCAAAUGGACUGUUACUCAACUAGUUAAACUUCAAAAACUGGGGCUUACGAAGCAUACUUUUUCUGCAUCCAAUUCAACCAAGAAGACCCAAAUCAUGUGACUUCUCUGUCAAACCCAACAAAAUAGGACCCAAAACAUAGGAAAAUAAAUUUAUAGUUGUUAAUUGAUCAAAAAAAUUCGAGAUUCAAUCAAACACUUUCUAUUAUCUCAUUUCUCAUUCGAUGAAGGUUAUGAGAUUUCAAGUGUUUAGGCCCAAAUUUUCUCUCUCUCUCUCUCUCUCUUUUUUUUUUUAUAAAUGAAUUCUGUUUAAAUUUAUUUUUAUUUUAUCAUGUACGAACUCAUAUUUAAAAGUUAUUUUAAUUUAAAUUAAAUUUAAUAAAUACUUUAUAAUAUUUAUAUAGUAAUUUUAAAAUAAUAAAUUUAAACAUACUUAAACACAUUAUGUCCUCUAAUAUAAAACUUUAACAGUAUAUAAGUAGUUCAAGCAUUGAAUAAAAAUAAAACAAUAGUAUAAUAUACUUUAUAACCACUCGACUUUAGUAUAUUUCAUUUUUCAUUAUUAAUCAAAAUAAAUAAUAUUUUCAUCUGCUUUUAAAUAAUUUAAUUUUGAAAUUAAUUCUAUCUAAUUUUAAAAUCAAUUUUUACACUAUUUUUUUUAACAAACAAUUUUUACACUAUCAUAAAUGGAUGUAGUGACUGUUUUUAUAAUCGGUAGGUUUUUAAUAUUAUAAAUUUUCUUAUCUUUUUAUACACAUACAUGCACAAAAGUACAAUAAUAUCACAUACUAGUUUUCGAGUAAAGGUGAGUUUGGAUGGGCGGUACGUUUACCUGCAGUUAGUGUAAAAACAGCGGUGGCAGUGAGAUUAGAUACUGUAGCGAUAUUGUAGCGUGAGACAAAAAGUAAGCUAAACGCAUUGCACCGCACCCAAUCGCCCAUCCAAACCCACCCUAAAUCAAAUUCUAGUACCAGCUUGUAAUAAUUUAAUAUAUGUAUUCUAAUUUAACUAAUUUUAGUUCUAAUUUUUUAAAAAAAAUUGAAAUUAUAAUCAUAACCUAGUUAAAUUUAUUACAUCAAAUUUUGCUAUUAUUUUCAUAAGUUUUGGGUUUAGUUAUUGUUUUCCAAUUUGAUUAUUUUUAGUCAAUAUAUUUUUGAAAUACUAGUCCUUACUAAAACAAUAGUUGUUAAAUCACUUAACUACGAUAACAUAAUUUUUCUAUGAAUAUUAUAUGAAAACAGUAAGUUAACUUGGGACUACACACACGAGAUGAUAUAUUUUGUUGCAUAAUAUUUUCAAAAUAACAGAAUUCAACUUAAUGAAUUUAACAACUACUUUUUGGGUCAAUAAAUAAAUAAAAUAAAAAUGACCAAAUUAAAGUAAAAGGAUUGAAUCCACAACUUAUACAUAAUACAAAGACUAAUAGUAAAAUUUGACAUUUGAAUAUAUUAUAUAUUAAUUAAGCUAUUUUUAUUAUUUUAUUUAUUUUUAUCAUUAUUUAAAAAAAAACUAUAUCAUAUAUUAAUUAUUAAAUACUAUGGCAUGAGUAUACAACUAAUAAAAGUAUAUCUAAGGAAAUAUAAAAGUAAGAGGAAUAAUUACAAUAUCAAACAAAAUUCAACAUUUAUGAAGGAUGAGGUUGAUAGUUAAAUUUAAAUUAAAAUAAGGAUUAUGAUAAAAAUAUUAAAACAUUACUCAACAGAACAAAACUCAAAUAUCAUAGCUGGAAAAAAAAUUAAACAAAAAGAAACGAAUGCAAAAAUGAUACGCAUGUGAUCAGAGGAAAUGAUCGAAUAACACCGCUCCUAGGAUCAUCACCAUGUCUCUUUUUUUUGUUUCCGAGAUCAGGUAAGUUGCUGUUUUGUGUUGUCAAUCCGCGUUUUCUUUCCUUUUUCUUCUUAUUUGUUUGUUCAUUGUGCGUUUCAGUUCGGGUGGGAUGGAGUUUUGGAAUUCACAUUUUACAUUUAAGAGAAGUUAUCCAUCUAUUAUGUCCAGAUUCUUGAAGCAGUUCUUUUGAAGAAUAACAUUCAAAUAUUUUAAAAAGAAACGAAACAGGUGAAGUUAUCCAUCUAUUAUCAUAUUCUUUAAGCAGUUUCUUUUACAUGUUGAUUUUGGCUUCAGUGGUUACAGAGAAUGAUUUCAGCUUCCAAGUUUGUUAAGGGUGGAAGUUUAUUUGAAGAAGAAGAAGAAAGAGAAGGUGGAGAAU
This 3920-nucleotide long non-coding RNA is filed under the name Gossypium barbadense (sea-island cotton). Its description in RNAcentral is "long non-coding RNA (GBAR_LNC016052)". Lineage: Eukaryota; Viridiplantae; Streptophyta; Magnoliopsida; Malvales; Malvaceae. The record is from RNAcentral.